This 169-nucleotide ribosomal RNA is filed under the name Aprion virescens. Its description in RNAcentral is "partial small subunit ribosomal RNA". Lineage: Eukaryota; Metazoa; Chordata; Actinopteri; Lutjaniformes; Lutjanidae. The record is from RNAcentral.
CACCGCGGUUAUACGGGUGACUCAAGUUGUUGGUCAUCGGCGUAAAGAGUGGUUAAGACAAACUAUAUAUUAAAGCCGAACGCCCUCAGAGCCGUUAUACGCUUCCGAGAGUAAGAAGUCCAAUCACGAAAGUGGCUUUAUUGUGUCUGAUCCCACGAAAGCUAUGGCA